ACGAACGCUGGCGGCGUGCCUAAUACAUGCAAGUUGAGCGCUGAAGGUUGGUACUUGUACCAACUGGAUGAGCAGCGAACGGGUGAGUAACGCGUGGGGAAUCUGCCUUUGAGCGGGGGACAACAUUUGGAAACGAAUGCUAAUACCGCAUAAAAACUUUAAACACAAGUUUUAAGCUUGAAAGAUGCAAUUGCAUCACUCAAAGAUGAUCCCGCGUUGUAUUAGCUAGUUGGUGAGGUAAAGGCUCACCAAGGCGAUGAUACAUAGCCGACCUGAGAGGGUGAUCGGCCACAUUGGGACUGAGACACGGCCCAAACUCCUACGGGAGGCAGCAGUAGGGAAUCUUCGGCAAUGGACGAAAGUCUGACCGAGCAACGCCGCGUGAGUGAAGAAGGUUUUCGGAUCGUAAAACUCUGUUGGUAGAGAAGAACGUUGGUGAGAGUGGAAAGCUCAUCAAGUGACGGUAACUACCCAGAAAGGGACGGCUAACUACGUG
Molecule: ribosomal RNA, 496 nt
Filed under: uncultured bacterium
Lineage: Bacteria
Description: partial 16S ribosomal RNA
Rfam family: Bacterial small subunit ribosomal RNA
Source: RNAcentral